Molecule: long non-coding RNA, 354 nt
Organism: Otolemur garnettii (small-eared galago)
Lineage: Eukaryota; Metazoa; Chordata; Mammalia; Primates; Galagidae
Exons: 3
Source: RefSeq, a predicted model, not a curated record
AGCUUCAGACAAGCAGACUCUGUUGCCCAAUGAGCAGCUCUACCAGCCCCUCAAGGAUCGGGACAAUGACCAAUAUAGUCACCUUCAAGGAAACCAACUGAGGAAAAACUGAGCUCGGGACUCAGAACAGGCAUCCUUCUAUCCAGUUUUCAGAAUGAAUGCAGUACAUCUUGGAGAGCUCUUAGCAGACAGACUUUUAGCCCUAAACCUAAACUCAACGUUCCCAGGGGUCACAAAUGGAGAAGAAAGGUCAUCAGAGCAAAUUUGGGGUUUUCUCCAAUAAAAUAAAAAAUAAAAACAGGCACAUUGUAUAUGAAAACCCCACACUGUACCCCAUGAUUGCAUUAAUGUACA